GACAAGCUAAGAAAAUUUAGAAGAGAUGAAGUAGACUAUAGAGAUGGCAAAGUCUUUGCCUGGAUAAAACCAACACGUAAGAAUUCCGAAUCACAUCUGCAGAGAAGGAAGCCUAGAUCUGUUUCUUUAAAUUUUACAAGCAGUGACGAUGAGGAUCACCCCAGACGCUCAGAGGCCAGCUCCUCCCAAGAUUUUUUAGAUCAGGAAGAGGAGUCACGCAGGUUCCUCAACAAGAGAAGGAGAGGACGCGGAAGAGGCCAACACGGAGGGGGAGGAAGAAAUCAAGACUAUCCAACCACACGGAGCAGGACCAGAACAAGGCUGUGAUCAACAUUUCUGGAGAACCCCUUUCUGAUGAUUGCAUAAGGGCAUCUACAUCGGAAGGCCUGGUACAAGCAAAACAUCUCUCCAACUACAGACACCAGUGUCUCAGAUUGGAAUGUCCACAGUGCAAGGUGUUCUACAUUGGAAGGACAAAGAGACGCCUUCAAGACCGCUUAGCGGAACACAAGUACGCCAUACGGGUAGGUAAUGAAGACUACCCCAUGGCAAGGCACUACAAGUCCCUACACCAUGGCAACCCUGCCUCCCUACAAGCUAUGGGUAUUGAUCAUAUUCCGGCCUCUUAUUAGAAAAGGGGACCGUCUUAAACAGUUAAACCAAAGGGACAUUUUUGGGAUUUACAAACUACAGGCCACUAAAUACCCUGGUUUAAAUGAAGAUAUGGAUUUCUCACCCUUCCUGUAGGGUUGUGAUGGGUCUAUUUGCUGUCAUCCAGUGGACAUUUUGCUUAAUUUGCCCUCAGCUAUGGUUAGACUGUUGUUGUUCAUGUUUUGCUGUGUUCUAGUGUACUAUGGAAUAUAUUGCUUUCUUAUUCUUGACACUUCUCCCA
Oncorhynchus kisutch (coho salmon) is the source of this 892-nucleotide long non-coding RNA. RefSeq lists it as uncharacterized. The record is from RefSeq and is a predicted model, not a curated record. NCBI's taxonomy places the organism in Eukaryota, Metazoa, Chordata, Actinopteri, Salmoniformes, Salmonidae. The transcript is spliced from 3 exons.